AUGGAUUGUCUUGAGGAAAGCUGUCAUCCACAAUCUGACCUUUGGCAAGGUUAUGCACUAAGGGCAGUUGAUAUUUUCCUUGAUUCGUUGUUGAUUUUCUGGGAGCCUCAGUUUCAUCCCUUGAUACGCGAGAGCCACAAGAAGCUACUGCUAACAAGUGCCCGUGAGUUAGCUGAAGGGUGUGCAAUUAUUCAGCCAUUGGAACCUGACCCUGAUGAUUUCUUGGCGCAUUUGCGGCCAUAUGCAUCGGUAUACUUCGAGAGUAAGAAGGAACAGUCUGGGUAUUAUACAGCUAAAAAACAAGUACGUCUGCAUGAAGAGUUUGAUAAUUAUAUGGAUAAUUAUUUGGCGACAUGCACACGGGAUGAUGCUAUUGACUUCUCUUCUUUCAUGGAAAGUGCUCGCAGAGAUGAUGAGAGUGGUCAGUUUGAAGAACUGGAUAACGAUCUUGCCAAAAUGUCCUUUGAGCGAAUGACCAAGAUUGCUAAGCGGGAACACGAAAUGAACGGUUACACUCAGAGCUUGAGAGAUCUUAAUGAUGAGGUGAAAGGUCAACUUGCAAGUUUGAUGGAUCUGCUGGAUGAAGAAGGCUUUUUCAGUAUUGAUUCUUCUUCUAUUGAUUGGGAAAAAGAAUCGUUUAAGAAAUUAUUGGAUACAUUUAAUGCUUUGACUGGGCAUUGCUUUGAUGGAUGUUAUGCAAUCCGAGCAAUAAUGGAUCUUCAAAAAUUCUUACCAAGAAAGGAUGAUGAUACAUCUCAUGACGCUGUUAAAAUGGGUUGA
Molecule: ribosomal RNA, 780 nt
Filed under: Triticum aestivum (bread wheat)
Lineage: Eukaryota; Viridiplantae; Streptophyta; Magnoliopsida; Poales; Poaceae
Description: partial small subunit ribosomal RNA
Source: RNAcentral